Molecule: ribosomal RNA, 292 nt
Filed under: uncultured bacterium
Lineage: Bacteria
Description: partial 16S ribosomal RNA
Rfam family: Bacterial small subunit ribosomal RNA
Source: RNAcentral
GUGCCAGCAGCCGCGGUAAUACGGAGGGUGCAAGCGUUAUCCGGAUUUACUGGGUUUAAAGGGUGUGUAGGCGGAUAUUUAAGUCAGUGGUGAAAUCCUACAGCUUAACUGUAGAACUGCCAUUGAUACUAUUUAUCUUGAAUAUUGUUGAGGUAGGCGGAAUACAUCAUGUAGCGGUGAAAUGCUUAGAUAUGAUGUAGAACACCGAUUGCGAAGGCAGCUUACUAAGCAAAUAUUGACGCUGAGGCACGAAAGCGUGGGGAUCAAACAGGAUUAGAUACCCUGGUAGUCC